GUGGGGAAUUUUGGACAAUGGGCGCAAGCCUGAUCCAGCAAUGCCGCGUGCAGGAAGAAGGCCUUCGGGUUGUAAACUGCUUUUGUACGGAACGAAACGGUCCGGGUUAAUACCCUGGGCUAAUGACGGUACCGUAAGAAUAAGCACCGACUAACUACGUGCCAGCAGCCGCGGUAAUACGUAGGGUGCAAGCGUUAAUCGGAAUUACUGGGCGUAAAGCGUGCGCAGGCGGUUUUGUAAGACAGGCGUGAAAUCCCCGGGCUCAACCUGGGAAUUGCGCUUGUGACUGCAAGGCUGGAGUGCGGCAGAGGGGGAUGGAAUUCCGCGUGUAGCAGUGAAAUGCGUAGAUAUGCGGAGGAACACCGAUGGCGAAGGCAAUCCCCUGGGCCUGCACUGACGCUCAUGCACGAAAGCGUGGGGAGCAAACAGGAUUAGAUACCCGAGUAGUCC
Molecule: ribosomal RNA, 450 nt
Filed under: uncultured bacterium
Lineage: Bacteria
Description: partial 16S ribosomal RNA
Rfam family: Bacterial small subunit ribosomal RNA
Source: RNAcentral